This is a long non-coding RNA of Mus musculus (house mouse), 1644 nucleotides long. RefSeq annotates it as predicted gene, 53925. The transcript is spliced from 3 exons. The record is from RefSeq and is a predicted model, not a curated record. Lineage: Eukaryota; Metazoa; Chordata; Mammalia; Rodentia; Muridae.
AAGUCUGGAGCACCUCCGUUAGAGUUAAGAGUUAGCUGAAGGUACACAGUGUAGGUUCUCAGUCCAAGCUUCAAGGCCAGGACCCAACCUCUUCCAGAUCUACAGGAAUUUGCAUUUCUGUAGUACUUGUGCCUAUCCUCCAAUAGCCUACCAAUCUGUCCCCCCCGCACAGCGCCAGGGAGACCCCACCAGGAAGGCUGGCGGAGACCUGCCACUGCUCAGCCGCUUGCUCCUCCCCUAUGUGGGCAGUGACCCUGUGCUCACGAUGUCGCACCUUCGGAGCUUGCCUGAGCACAAUCCACAGCAUCCAGCGGCAGGACAAGGAGCACAGCACACAGGCUCAUUCAAGUCUGCUCAGCAACUAAGUGAAAUUCGCGCCAAGGCAUCCGGAAAAACCCGCCUUCCCUUCUGACUGGCAAGUCAGCCUAAAGGAUCUGAUUGGCCAAUAAGUCUUGAGUGACUCGAGCACCUCCCUUAAAGCCCCAGGGAGGCCCCAUCAGGAAGGCAGCCGGAGAUCUGCCACUACUCAGUGGCUUGCUCCUCCCCUAUGUGGGCAGUGACCCUGUGCUCACCAGGUCCUGACUUCAGCCCCAGCUUCCCUAACUCACUAGGCUGUUUGACUUCUCCCUCCUGGAAUUAAGUGUAAUUAAUUUUGAUGCAUUUGUGCCGUGGUGCAGCCCCAGCGUGAGGUAUUUCUUCUUUCUUUUCGGUUCUUCUUGAGGCAACGGAGAGGUAAGAGCAUAGGCGGAGGGUAAGGCUUUGUCUUAACAAAAAUUUAGGGUUGCUGUAUAAUAAAAAGUUUACUUAUCUAAGUCUAAGUUACUAUGCUGUUGUACCUGACCUGCGUUCUGUGAUCCUCUCAGGUCAGAAACUGCAGUUUCUGGCACUCAGCACCUCAUCCUAAAACAGCAGAUUAAGUAAAGAAUUAAUUGCUAGACCCUUUCCCCUGUUCUCCAGAUGCCACUUGCUUUCGGGAUAGGAGGAUGUUUGGAGCUAUAAACUUCUACUGAGCCAGGAGAAGUAAAUAACACUCGCAGAAAGAAAAAACUUUUACAUAAGCAAAUAUGCAUAAUCUCACAUAAAUUCAUAUUCAGCUUCAUUCAUGCUCACUUAUUCAUUUUCAUUAGAAGCCAGAUGGGCCCAGCUUUCAUGCAUUCUCACAAUUACAUACUUACACACACACAUGCAGACAUUCUCACAAUUACAUAAUUACACACACAUCCAUAUUUACAUAUGCAUAUGGAGCAUAAGACCCAGCAUGGUUGCAGAAAGAACUCACACAUUCUAGAUGAAAACUAAAUGCACUCCAAUCUGUAUUACAUAGAGAAAGAAAAGGCUUCUACCUUCUUAAUGCUAAAUGAAUUAAACCCAUGUUUGUAAGAAAAAAUCUUUGUUUCUUUUAAUAAGACUAAACCUGCCUUGUCCUUACCAUGGGAUCUGCUCUGUCCCACGGUAAGGAGAAGCCUGCUUGCUCCUUCUGCUCUCAGCAUCAUCUACUUUUUUCUUCUUUCCCUCUGCAUUCUACACAUUGCUCUCUUAGUAGUUUAUGUUACCUAUAAUUUCCAAGCUACUCCACUCUGCAUUCUCCUUCAAAAAUCAUCUCCUCAGCUCAGUUCUCUCACCUCCAUUCCUCUCACCCCCAGC